GACGAACGCUGGCGGCGUGCUUAACACAUGCAAGUCGAACGGAAAGGCCCUGCUUUUGUGGGGUGCUCGAGUGGCGAACGGGUGAGUAACACGUGAGUAACCUGCCCUUGACUUUGGGAUAACUUCAGGAAACUGGGGCUAAUACCGGAUAGGAGCCCCUGCUGCAUGGUGGGGGUUGGAAAGUUUCGGCGGUUGGGGAUGGACUCGCGGCUUAUCAGCUUGCUGGUGGGGUAGUGGCUUACCAAGGCUUUGACGGGUAGCCGGCCUGGGAGGGGGACCGGCGACAUGGGGACUGAGAUACGGCCCAGACUCCUACGGGAGGCAGCAGUGGGGAAUAUUGCACAAUGGGCGGAAGCCUGAUGCAGCAACGCCGCGUGCGGAAUGACGGCCUUCGGGUUGUAAACCGCUUUCGCCUGUGACGAAGCGUGAGUGACGGUAAUGGGUAAAGAAGCACCGGCUAACUACGUG
This 468-nucleotide ribosomal RNA is filed under the name uncultured bacterium. RNAcentral's name for it is "partial 16S ribosomal RNA". It matches the Rfam family "Bacterial small subunit ribosomal RNA", at positions 28 to 507 of the family's 1533-position model. The record is from RNAcentral.